RNAcentral lists this ribosomal RNA (468 nucleotides) under uncultured bacterium. RNAcentral describes it as "partial 16S ribosomal RNA". It matches the Rfam family "Bacterial small subunit ribosomal RNA", at positions 28 to 507 of the family's 1533-position model. The record is from RNAcentral.
GACGAACGCUGGCGGCGUGCUUAACACAUGCAAGUCGAACGGAAAGGCCCUGCUUUUGUGGGGUGCUCGAGUGGCGAACGGGUGAGUAACACGUGAGUAACCUGCCCUUGACUUUGGGAUAACUUCAGGAAACUGGGGCUAAUACCGGAUAGGAGCUCCUGCUGCAUGGUGGGGGUUGGAAAGUUUCGGCGGUUGGGGAUGGACUCGCGGCUUAUCAGCUUGUUGGUGGGGUAGUGGCUUACCAAGGCUUUGACGGGUAGCCGGCCUGAGAGGGUGACCGGCCACAUUGGGACUGAGAUACGGCCCAGACCCCUACGGGAGGCAGCAGUGGGGAAUAUUGCACAAUGGGCGGAAGCCUGAUGCAGCAACGCCGCGUGCGGGAUGACGGCCUUCGGGUUGUAAACCGCUUUCGCCUGUGACGAAGCGUGAGUGACGGUAAUGGGUAAAGAAGCACCGGCUAACUACGUG